Molecule: ribosomal RNA, 493 nt
Filed under: uncultured bacterium
Lineage: Bacteria
Description: partial 16S ribosomal RNA
Rfam family: Bacterial small subunit ribosomal RNA
Source: RNAcentral
AACGAACGCUGGCGGCGCGUCUUAAACAUGCAAGUCGAACGGCAGGAAGGGGCUUGCCCCUUCUGAGAGUGGCGGACUGGUGAGUAACACGUGGGUGACAUACCUUUUAGUUGGGGAUAGCUAUUAGAAAUAGUAGGUAAUACCGAAUGUGACCGUACCUGUUAGAGGGGUACGAGGAAAGGAGCUAAGGCUUCGCUAAAAGAAUGGCUCGCGGCCCAUUAUGCUCGUUGGUGAGGUAACGGCCCACCAAGGCGAUGAUGGGUAUCCGGCCUGAGAGGGUGAACGGACACAUUGGGACUGAGAUACGGCCCAGACUUCUGCGGGAGGCAGCAGUUAAGAAUAUUCCGCAAUGGACGAAAGUCUGACGGAGCGACGCCGCGUGGAUGAAGAAUGCCGAAAGGUUGUAAAAUCCUUUUAAGCCUGAUGAAUAAGCACAGUAGGGAAUGAUUGUGCGGUGACCGUAGGGCUUGAAUAAGCACCGGCUAAUUACGUG